RNAcentral lists this ribosomal RNA (498 nucleotides) under uncultured bacterium. RNAcentral describes it as "bacterial SSU rRNA". It matches the Rfam family "Bacterial small subunit ribosomal RNA", at positions 899 to 1397 of the family's 1533-position model. The record is from RNAcentral.
ACUCAAAUGAAUAGACGGGGGCCCGCACAAGCGGAGGAACAUGUGGUUUAAUUCGAUGAUACGCGAGGAACCUUACCCGGGCUUGAAAUGGAGAAGAAUAACGGUGAAAGCCGUUAGCCAGCAAUGGCUUCUUUGUAGGUGCUGCAUGGUUGUCGUCAGCUCGUGCCGUGAGGUGUCGGCUUAAGUGCCAUAACGAGCGCAACCCUUGCCAAUAGUUACCAGCGUUUAGGAUGGGGACUCUAUUGGGACUGCCUCCGUAAGGUGUGAGGAAGGUGGGGAUGACGUCAAAUCAGCACGGCCCUUACGUCCGGGGCGACACACGUGUUACAAUGGGUGGAACAGAGGGUUGCGACUUGGCAACAGGAAGCUAAUCUCUAAAAACCAUUCUCAGUUCGGAUCGGAGUCUGCAACUCGACUCCGUGAAGCUGGAUUCGCUAGUAAUCGCGCAUCAGCCAUGGCGCGGUGAAUACGUUCCCGGGCCUUGUACACACCGCCCGU